This is an RNA transcript of Zootermopsis nevadensis, 3685 nucleotides long. RefSeq lists it as uncharacterized. NCBI's taxonomy places the organism in Eukaryota, Metazoa, Arthropoda, Insecta, Blattodea, Termopsidae. The record is from RefSeq and is a predicted model, not a curated record.
UGGUCUCUUGGGCUGUGAGGUUGGAAAAACCUCAAAUCUGUGGGUGAUUUAAAGCUACAUGUAGUUUCUUGUAACUGUCAAGAGAUGGCGGGGUACAAUUCCUUUACUGAUAUUUUAAAACAAAACAAUAAAUCUGACAACAAUAAAGAAAAAUUUCCCAUUUACACAUAUUUCGGGCAGAAUAAUCUUCCCGUUGAACACACUUUCUUCACAAAGUCCUUCUUCCAUAACUUAAUUUUACCGAUAACCAAAAAACUUUAUCAGCUGCAAUUUCAAACCGUAAAACUUUUCCCCCAUAACGCUUUCGUCACGUAAUUUAAGUCCACUGGUAACGAUAAGUCAUUUAUUUGGCACCCUGGUUUGAAGCCCCGAACACCCCGGAGAGGCACUUAAGCUAUUGCUGUUUUGAGUGGGACAGCGUCUCCUGUCGACCGACAGACAGCAACCCGAGGCCACCACGAGAAACCGGUUGGCAGCAACAGCUAUUGGCUUGCAGUUCUACAUUUCUUUUUUCCUUUCUUACCUGAGAAUACCUGUAACAGCCACUUGACUUUCAAACUCGGGUAAGGAAGCCGGGCGCUGUGUUAGAAUCAACCCCCCCAAAAUACGAAUUCAGUCGUUGUUCUGUGUGUUGGUGUCUCGUGUGUAACUCAAAUUCACUUCAAGGCAAAGAAAACUGUGGGAGUGAGGUUUAUCUGUUUGCUGAUAUCUGAAAUCAGCCACGACUUCAAAGGACCUAUUCCAUACCUCAAUACAGGCUGCCCCAAAUCUAGACCCUUUCUUAGUCAAUCAGCAAACAGUCAGCCAGAUAUUCUUCAAACACUAAGUAAGUUACUCGUCGAGUCAGUCAGGAAGGCAACUCUAAUGGAGCUGUCAAACACGGGAGAAGUAAAGACAAAUGGAACAAAGGAAGAUAGUACCUGCAGAUCCAAACGAAUGAAGCCCCUCGUUCAAGGACUCCGGCUAACCAGAAAUGGCGAACUGUUCUCUUAAAACAGUUAACGUGCAUCGCAGCGCGACCAACAGGUCAAUGUCACUUACAAGGACACCCAUACAAAAAUUUUAAUUAUUUGAUUACCCCUUUUUGUAGGCAGGCCGCUUUAAGAAGCUGUCCAGGACCACCUCACGUCAGGAUAACCACAUUUGCUACCACGUGAUCAGACUUACCCCGAAUAUAUCUCCGGGUUUUGUAGUCUGAGUUAAGAAAAGAAAAAGUUCUCAAUAAUUACGCCAGACGUCACUAACAUACGCAGGGCCAAAUAUUUUCGCAUCCCGCUCAUAGAUGUCAGGAGCACGACAACGAAAUAAAGUAUUUCCUACUCCCUCGAUAAUUUGUGUCUGGACAUGAAUUUUUUUUAAAAAAAAAUUGUACUCCUCUAAUUGAUAUUUUUUUCUGUAAUUUUCGUCAACAUAAAUUGUUCUGUGCUGGUAUCACACUGUGACUUCUUUUCUUUGUUGAAUGGCCACCAUCCAUCUGUCGGGGCUCAUUUGUUGAACCUCCGUCGCGAUCAGAACUGCAAGGCUGCUGAUGGGAUGGACUGUUCAACGCGCUCUGCCGCUCGCAUGGCAACAACACACAAGGUCAUCCAUCCUACCCACAACCUGUUCUGCGCGCCCACAUUUCACAGGCGGUACACAUCGUUCAAGUCACACCGGACUCUGAGCAGGUGUUCUACAGAUUCUGGAAGUCUGCGUGGAAUAAACAACUCCGCCACCAAAUAAAUUAUAAGGUUUUCUUGACAAGCCUACAAAGCUGUGUGCAGAUAAGAAGUGUAGCGAGGGGUGGUAACUCCACCACCGUUGGCUUAACUGCUAAAAUGGCGGCCAACGGUAGAGGAGUUCCUCAUUCUCGCUACACACAACACCUCACUGCAGGCUUCAAGAGACAUUAGUCCUACGUGCGAAGAAGAUGAAACUGAUGGAUAAUAUGAGUCUAAUUUGAGAAGAGAUCUGGUAGUCUUCAAUUUACGUCACGGGCGUGUCCUUAAAAACAUCGAUAUAUAUCUCACACACACGCACGCGCACUGAAACGGUGUAAAUGAUAAAUCAUUCGAUCCUUUGCUUUAAAAUGAAACUUUGCCAGUGUCGGAUAAAAUUUAUCUCAUUUAAGAUACGAAGAACAGAGAGAAAGUAAGUUUAAGUACAAGAUGUGUAAUGCGAAUCUCCACGUUUAGACUCAUUCGCUGUCUUUCUACGUAGGUGUCAUGAAAACUGAUUCGCGUGUCAUAAAGUAAGAUGUUUUCAGUCUACCCAAGACAGUAACCACUUUUCACUGCCGUUUUAAUAUCAUUACGUGACCUAUCACGUAUUUCUAAAAGGUAAAAACUGAUGAUACCAUGGAAAAAUUUGUACAAAAAUGAUUCAAAGGACACUACAGAGAAAAAUAGUUCCAGUUUUUGAGGUCUUCGUGGCCGUGAGUCUGAGGAUGGCUGUUUUCUGGGUCAUUGCACCGCGCAGUCUCGUAGAGAGUUUACUGACCCCUGAUGAUGGAGGCAGCAAGGAUAUCUGAAACGUCAGUAGACUUCUACCAGACUACGCGGUGCAACAAGACAGAAGAUUAGUUAACCAGCCAACCGACCACAAACGUAACUAAGGACGGAGUCUUCCACAGUCGCAAUACGAAGUCCUCUGGUUAGCUUUCACCAUUAACGUGUACGAAACGCAUUUCUGGAAAUGUUCCCUGUGUAAUCGCAUCCAGAAUUUAAAUUUUGUGAAUAUUAGUCACGGACUUUAAAUCAAUUAUAUCAAUAUUCAUGUCAUUAGUUACGUUUGUGUCCUGUCUGAUGUAGUUUAAUUCAUCUGUUUUCACGAUUUUAAGGAUUUAUUUUAUUGUACUGGAUUCUGACGUCUUGAAUAUUUAUCUCAAUAAUCAAAACUAUUUAUUAAAAUUCUGAAGUUAUAAAAUCUGUGACAGGAAAAGAGUCCAUAAAUGUAUGUAUCUGUUAUAGGCUUUAAGGUCUAAGAGAAUUAAUAAGACACAAAAUGACUUAUCUAUCAAAGGUGAACACAAACCACGAAAACACAAAGGAGAUGAACGCACCCCAAGGCAGCUGACCUCUGACCUCGUCAACCCAGCAACUACCAAGAAAGUAGCAAAUGUCUUAUAAGACCGACAAACCUCUGCUAAGAAAAAAUUAAUGUAUUCUUUUCUCAUGGGGGAUUUUUAUUUUGACUGUUUUGUAGUGAUAAUACUAAGUAUUGUCGCAAACUACUCACCUGCCACAUUUUACCUCGUGCAAUAACACGUGGAGAGAUGAAAAUAAUUUACUAACGCUAAAAAAAUAAUACGUGCAUACCGAAGUGAGUCUUUUGUUGAUGAACAAUCAGUUACGUGAAAGACUGGCACAAGAAGAAUGGAAUAUAAAAAUUACGAUAUUUAAAUAAUUAUUGUGAUUUCCUUAUAACGAAGACACGUGAAAGUGGCUGAAAUCUAGGAGGGGGAAAAAUAGUUAACAGAACUGACGAGGAUCGUUUAAAUUACAUGUCGAUGAUGAAGGAAGACAGAACUAGAUCAUAAAGAUCUAUUUUGAAACUUCUGAAUGUUGGAAUACGAUCGUAUAAGACGGUGGGAAAAUGACAAAUUAUUUUAAUCCCACAGGCUCUGAAGUUACGUGAAUCAGUGUUUUACAAAAGGCAUAGAUUAAUUAUUCUUGUAUAAUCUGAUAAUAACAAUAUAAACGCAAAA